This 73-nucleotide transfer RNA is filed under the name Candidatus Omnitrophota bacterium. RNAcentral describes it as "Candidatus Omnitrophica bacterium (sediment metagenome) tRNA-Thr". It matches the Rfam family "tRNA". From Rfam's summary of the family: Transfer RNA (tRNA) molecules are approximately 80 nucleotides in length. Their secondary structure includes four short double-helical elements and three loops (D, anti-codon, and T loops). The record is from RNAcentral. Lineage: Bacteria; Pseudomonadati; Candidatus Omnitrophota.
GCCGAUGUAGCUCAGUUGGUAGAGCAGCGCAUUCGUAAUGCGCAGGUCGGAGGUUCAACCCCUCUCGUCGGCU